GGCGGGUCUCCCCGCAUUGCCAAGUCGUGAAUCUGGUCAGGUCCGGAAGGAAGCAGCCACAGCGGUGUAGGCAAGUGCCGGGGGUCGGGCUCGCCACCU
RNAcentral lists this signal recognition particle RNA (99 nucleotides) under Chitinimonas taiwanensis DSM 18899. RNAcentral describes it as "Bacterial small signal recognition particle RNA". It matches the Rfam family "Bacterial small signal recognition particle RNA". Rfam says of the family: The signal recognition particle (SRP) is a universally conserved ribonucleoprotein involved in the co-translational targeting of proteins to membranes. Archaeal SRP consists of a 7S RNA and homologues of the eukaryotic SRP19 and SRP54 proteins. In most bacteria, the SRP consists of a 4.5S RNA and the Ffh protein (a homologue of the eukaryotic SRP54 protein). The record is from RNAcentral. Lineage: Bacteria; Pseudomonadati; Pseudomonadota; Betaproteobacteria; Neisseriales; Chitinibacteraceae.